This is a long non-coding RNA of Electrophorus electricus (electric eel), 1383 nucleotides long. RefSeq lists it as uncharacterized. The record is from RefSeq and is a predicted model, not a curated record. NCBI's taxonomy places the organism in Eukaryota, Metazoa, Chordata, Actinopteri, Gymnotiformes, Gymnotidae.
CGUCCGGUGGAAACAGUCGUAAAACAGCUGAGACACGGCUAAAGCACUAAAAGUCGGCUGGCCGGUUCCAGGACGUCUCGUGUUCCAGAGCGGAGCGUUCUGAAACCAUUAAAGCGUAAUGAUGGAUGCGAGGUGAUAGCAUGCUGCGCUGUGUUGAUCCGCGUAAACCUCAGCCGGUCAGCUGACGUUGUUUGGCGAACACGACCGUACAACGGCGCAGCAGGGGGGUUCCGCUCCGCCAGCUGCGAUCGUGCAUCGCCCGUCGCAGAUGCGUUUCGCUUGUUUUUGGCUUUAGCGCUCUGGUGUGUCCGUCAAGAAGAGGCCGUUUUAGAGGCGUGCAGCUACGGGAGUGACUGGGAAUGGGAUACAGGAUCCAGACUCGGGUUUGGAGCGAAAUGAGAGCUGGUCUGGCCAGUGUCUUGAAGAGGCUCAGGUCAGCAUGUCCAGACACAAGACAGAAAGGCGUGGCAUUCUGGGAAAAAAAAGGCCGCUGCCUCGGAUCGGGUUCCAGCUCGGGCGGUCUGCUGAUGUGAUGCCAGAGCCCGCGCCGAUCCGGGACAUCAAUGUGUAUGCCGACAUGCUGUUUCUGAGCUGUUGGAAAGUGUAACAGUAAGGAAAACACCGAUGACUUCAAAGCUCCAGAGAAGGAUGACGAGAAGGACCGACGGGACCACCGGCGCUCCAGGAGCUCAGAUGAAGAGAAAACAUGACGCAGUGGCCAAGCGCAACAGAGCACCAGUCUUAUGGCAGGGACCGGAGCGACCCCCAGGCGUCCAGGUUUCCGUCGUCCCCCGCCCUGGGUAAUGGAACGAAACUUGCAGCAGAGAAGGACAAACUGCAGAAAGGCACCGAGACACUGGAAAGGGGGAGGAAGAGAGAGACAGCGUGAGAGAGGAGUGGAGAAAAGGAGAGAGGAGGGGAAGAGAAAAAUGGAGAUAGCAUGGAUUGGUGGAGCAUCUCCAUGCUGUCAGGGAUUCUAAGUACAGGUUACCACCGUCUGGCCAUCGAAAAGGGCCGGAGUGUAGAAAUCCGCUGAUGUUUUCACAUUAAAAAAUAAAAAUAAAACCAAAUCCCAUGUUUCAAUGAUUUGGUCCAAUGUGAAAUGUUACAUAUCUAUUUUGGAGUAGGGCGCACAGCAAGCCUCGCUGCAAAAUACGUAAGAACAGGUGGUGACAACUCUACCAAUACUGCACCUUUUAUCUAUGUAAUUACACUCCAUAUUUCACACACAUGUUUUCUUUGCUAAAUAUGAUUACGCUUAUCCACAUUAUACAUAUUAUUUGGUAAAGUUUAAAGGGCUUAUUAGCUGCCAUUAAUUAUUAUUGGUGCAUUUAUUAAUGUGAUUAUUAAUAGGCCUUACGAUUAUGUUAAAUUCUAUUCAUU